Molecule: ribosomal RNA, 484 nt
Filed under: uncultured bacterium
Lineage: Bacteria
Description: bacterial SSU rRNA
Rfam family: Bacterial small subunit ribosomal RNA
Source: RNAcentral
GACGAACGCUUGCGGCGUGCCUAAGAAAUGCAAGUCGAACGGGCGGAGACUUCGGUUUCCGUCAGUGGCGAACGGUCGCGUAACACGUAAGCAACCUGCCCUAAAGUGGGGGACAACAGCCCGAAAGGGCUGCUAAUACCGCAUGUGGCCCGGGAAUCGCAUGGUUUCCGGUCUAAAGGAUCUCGCAAGGGGUUCGCUUUAGGAUGGGCUUGCGGCCUAUCAGCUUGUUGGUGGGGUAACGGCCUACCAAGGCGUUGACGGGUAGCUGGUCUGAGAGGACGAUCAGCCGGAUUGGGACUGAGAUACGGCCCAGACUCCUACGGGGGGCAGCAAUUAGGAAUCUUGCGCAAUGGGGGCAACCCUGACGCAGCGACGCCGCGUGCGGGAUGAAGGCAUUCGUGUCGUAAACCGCUUUUUUAGGGGAAGAAGAAUGUGACGGUACCCUAAGAAUAAGCCCCGCUAACUACGUGCCAGCAGCCGCAGU